UUGCAUUCUCAACCUCUUGAAAACUGACUUUCUAAUUCACAUAAAACAAAGUAAAUUAACACAAAUACAAGACACUAAUUUUAUUAAUAAGUUCAUUAGAAAUGUUUUUUUAUAAAACUUUACAAUUCUGCUGUAAAUGCUGUUUUGGAGUGAGUAUAGCUACAGCACAUAAAACAUAAAUGUUUUUCUUUUGAAACAUGUCGUGUAAUUCCAUUUUUGCCAUGCAAAUUAUACUGUGACAGUGCUGACCUUCACCACAAGGAAGUUGAACUAUAUGUAGACAAUUCAUCUUUCAUGAAAAUGCCUGGGUCUGGAAGCUUAAAGUUUAGAGUGUUGUCAUUAGCAUCAGAAUAAGAAUAUGUGUAAGUGAAAAUAAUUUACAUACAGUCAUGUUUAUUUAUUUAUUGAAAUUAGUUAUUCUAUGUCCUUAUAAAAUGAAUUAUAUUAUUUGUGUGAUUCAAGUACUAUUUAUUCAUUUUUUCUCACAAUUAUUUUAUUGUUUAUUAGAAAGUAUAAUUAAAAAGAAAAGGAAGAAAAAAUAAUGUUCUUAUCAUAUAUACAGAAGUGAAAUGAACAAGCUAAAUUAUUUUUCCUGAAUGUAGUGGCUCUUGAUUUCAGACGGUUACUCAUUUUUCCAGACCGUCACAGACCCCCAAUUAGCAUUGCCACCCCAGGUACACAGACACUGGCACGCACCAUCGACCCGGUGAAGCCCUGAGGUUGGGAAUUUGGUUUGUGGGACUGUUUUUUGGUGUAGUUAUCAGUGUUGUUGCUACUGUUGUUGUUGUUGUUGCGGGACUUGUCUUUGUUGCUGCGAGUGGUGGUGGUGUUGUUGGUGUUGUUGUUGCUGUUGUUGUUGGUGCUGCUGCUGUUGUUGGUGGUGCUGGUCUUGUUGUUGUUGCUGCUAGUGGUGGUGGUGUUGUUGGUGUUGUUGUUGCUGCUGCUGCGGCUGUUGUUGGUGUUGCUGGUCUGGCCGUUGUUGUUGUUGCUGCUGAUGCUGGUGUUGUUGUUGUUUUUGCUGCUGCUGCUGCUACUGUUUCUACUGCUGCUGCUGCUGCUGCAGGUGUUGUAGUUGUUGUUGUUGCUGGUCUUGUUUUUGUUGCUGCUAGUGGUGGUGGUGUUGUUGCUGGUGUUGUUAUUGUUGUUGUUGCUGCUGGUGUUGUUGUUGUUGUUGUUUUUGCUGCUGCUGCUGCUACUGUUUCUACUGCUGCUGCUGCUGCUGCUGCUGCAGGUGUUGUUGUUGCUGGUCUUGCUAUUGUUGUUGUUGUGGUUGGUGGUGUUGCGGUUGUUGGUGUUGUUGUUGCUGUUGCUGCUGCUGUUGUUGGUGGUGCUGGUCUUGUUGUUGUUGUUGUUGCUAGUCUUGUCUUUGAUGCUGCUGGUGGUGUUGUUGUUGUUGUUGCUGCUGCUGUUGUUGCUGUUGUUGUUGCUGCUGCUGCUGCUGUUGUUGGUGUUGCUGGUCUUGCCAUUGUUGUUGUUGCUGCUGCUGCUGCUGCUGUUGUUGUUGCUGUUGCUGGACUUGUCUUUGUUGCUGCUAGUGGUGGUGGUGUUGUUGCUGUUGUUGUUGCUGCUGCUGUUGUUGCUGGUCUUGCCAUUGUUGUUGUUGCUGCUGGUGUUGUUGUUGUUGCUGCUGCUGCUGCUGCUGCUGCUGCUGCUGUUGUUGUUGCUGCUGUUGCUGGUAUUGUUGUUGUUGCUGGAGUUGUUGUUGUUGUUGAUGCUGCUGCUGCUGCUGUUGUUGCUGGUCUUGUCAUUGUUGCUGUUUCUGGUCUUGCCAUUGUUGAUGUUGCUGCUGGUGUUGUUGUUGCUGUUGCUGUUGGUGUUGAUUUUAUUGUUGCUGGUGUUGUUGUUGUUUUUGCUGCUGUUGCUGGUUGUGUUGUUGUUGCUGCUGCUGCUGCUGCUGCUGCUGCAGGCGUUGUUGUUGCUGGUCUUGCCGUUGUUGUUGUUGUCGUUGCUGCUGCUGUUGCAGGUGUUGUUGUUGUUGCUGCUGCUGCUGAUGGUGUUGUUGCUGUUGCUGGUAUUGUUGUCAUUGUGCUUGCUGCUGCUGCUGCAGGUGUUGUUGUUGUUGCUGGUGUUGUUGUUGCAGGUCUAACCAUUGUUGUUGUUGUUGUUGCUGGUGUUGUUGUUGCUGCUGGUCUUGUCAUUGUUGUUGCAGGUGCUGUUGUUGCUAUUGUGGUUGCAGUGGGCAUGCUGUUUAUGGUUGUAGUUUUACUUUGUGUGGUGGUCUGAAAUGUGAAAUAAUGGGAUGUUUACCACCUAUUUGCUUAUAGAACUACAUUACAAGAAGGUACAGUUAGAAUGUAAUUAAGCAUAGACAUACCCAUGUGCAGUGUUGGGGGUAACGCAUUACAAGUAAUGCGAGUUAAGUAAUCAGAUACUUUUUUCAGGUAUCUAGUAAAGUAACGCACUACUUUUUAAUUUACAGGAAAAUAUAUUUUUAAAAAAGUACAGAGGCGGAAGUACAGAGGCGUUAUGUGCUCUGUGUGAACAUGAUGUUACUGUAGUUCUAGACUAAAUGUAAAUGUGCAUUAAUUCAUCUCACUCACAAAAAAAAAAAAAAAACAGAUUUAGCAUUCAUCUAAAUCAAUUAAAACAGUGAAAUGCAAACUCAGAAUAUGAUGCAAACCUGCAAUAAUUAAAUAUGUUAAAUAAUACAAAUGCAUCUAAUCCCAUUUUAUUAACCAAUGUCUUUGCUGCUGACCAUUGAUGAUCCAGUUCAACCAUAUUAAUAAGCAAAAAUGACUUUAGAUAAACUAACAAUUGAGCUUCAUUGUUUUUUUAUUGCUGCGUUCUACUCUACAGACGUGA
Molecule: long non-coding RNA, 2802 nt
Organism: Cyprinus carpio (common carp)
Lineage: Eukaryota; Metazoa; Chordata; Actinopteri; Cypriniformes; Cyprinidae
Source: Ensembl